AACGAACGCUGGCGGCGUGGAUAAGACAUGCAAGUCGAGCGAGAUUCUUUCUUGUAGCAAUACGAGGAAAAGUCUAGCGGCGAACGGGUGCUUAACACGUGGGCAACCUGCCAAGAAGGGGGGGAUAGCUCGCCGAAAGGCGAAUUAAUACCGCAUGUGAUCAGAGUGGACAUCCAUUCAAAAUUAAAGUCGGGGCAACCUGACGCUUCUUGAGGGGCCCGCGGCCUAUCAGCUAGUUGGUGAGGUAACGGCCCACCAAGGCUUUGACGGGUAGCUGGGCUGAGAGGACGACCAGCCACACUGGGACUGAGACACGGCCCAGACACCUACGGGUGGCAGCAGUCGAGAAUUUUUCUCAAUGGGGGAAACCCUGAAGGAGCGACGCCGCGUGGAGGAUGAAGGUCUUCGGAUUGUAAACUCCUGUCAUUGGGGAACAAUGCGUAAAUAUUAACUGUAUUUGCGUUGAUAGUACCCGAAGAGGAAGAGACGGCUAACUCUGUGCCAGCCGCCGCAGUAA
RNAcentral lists this ribosomal RNA (517 nucleotides) under uncultured bacterium. RNAcentral's name for it is "partial 16S ribosomal RNA". It matches the Rfam family "Bacterial small subunit ribosomal RNA", at positions 29 to 523 of the family's 1533-position model. The record is from RNAcentral.